AGAGUUUGAUCAUGGCUCAGAACGAACGUUGGCGGCGUGGAUUAGGCAUGCAAGUCGAACGAAUCCCUGCUGGGUAACUGGCAGGGGGAAGUGGCGAAAGGGGCAGUAAGGCGUGGGUAACCUACCCCGGGGACCGGGAUAGCCAUCCUAACGGAUGGGUAAUACCGGGCGAGAUGGCGAGGGGGCAUCCCCCUGUCAUGAAAUGAGUUUCGCCUUGGGAGGGGCUCACGUAGUAUUAGCUAGUUGGUGAGGUAACGGCUCACCAAGGCCAAGAUGCUUAGCGGGUGUGAGAGCACGACCCGCGCCACUGGCACUGUGACACUGGCCAGACUCCUACGGGAGGCUGCAGUCGAGGAUCUUCGGCAAUGGGCGCAAGCCUGACCGAGCGACGCCGCGUGUGCGAUGAAGGCCUUCGGGUUGUAAAGCACUGUCGAGGGGGAGGAAAGCCGCAAGGUCUGACCUAUCCCUGGAGGAAGCACGGGCUAAGUUCGUGCCAGCAGCCGCGGUAAGACGAACCGUGCGAACGUUGUUCGGAUUCACUGGGCUUAAAGGGCGCGUAGGCGGGCGAUCAAGUCAGGGGUGAAAUCUUUCGGCCCAACCGGAAAAGUGCCUUUGAUACUGGUCGUCUCGAGGGAGGUAGGGGCGUGUGGAACUUCCGGUGGAGCGGUGAAAUGCGUAGAUACCGGAAGGAACGCCGGUGGCGAAAGCGACGCGCUGGACCUCUUCUGACGCUGAGGCGCGAAAGCCAGGGGAGCAAACGGGAUUAGAUACCCCGGUAGUCCUGGCCCUAAACGAUGGGUACUAGGUAGUAGACUGUACAUGGGUUUACUGCCGAAGCAAAAGUGUUAAGUACCCCGCCUGGGGAGUAUGGUCGCAAGGCUGAAACUCAAAGGAAUUGACGGGGCUCACACAAGCGGUGGAGCAUGUGGCUUAAUUCGAGGCUACGCGAAGAACCUUAUCCUGGACUUGACAUGUGCGAAAGCCGCUGGGGAGUAGCC
RNAcentral lists this ribosomal RNA (998 nucleotides) under uncultured bacterium. RNAcentral's name for it is "bacterial SSU rRNA". It matches the Rfam family "Bacterial small subunit ribosomal RNA", at positions 8 to 1013 of the family's 1533-position model. The record is from RNAcentral.